UACGUAGGGUGCGAGCGUUGUCCGGAAUUAUUGGGCGUAAAGGGCUCGUAGGCGGUUUGUCGCGUCGGGAGUGAAAACUCAGGGCUUAACCCUGAGCCUGCUUCCGAUACGGGCAGACUAGAGGUAUGCAGGGGAGAACGGAAUUCCUGGUGUAGCGGUGAAAUGCGCAGAUAUCAGGAGGAACACCGGUGGCGAAGGCGGUUCUCUGGGCAUGACCUGACGCUGAGGAGCGAAAGUGUGGGGAGCGAACAGG
Molecule: ribosomal RNA, 253 nt
Filed under: uncultured bacterium
Lineage: Bacteria
Description: partial 16S ribosomal RNA
Rfam family: Bacterial small subunit ribosomal RNA
Source: RNAcentral